GAUUAGCAUUUCGCGGAAAGAGUAAAAUAAAAUGUGUUGUAAUAUACUGUUUCAAUAUCUUAGAGAAACCAAUUUAAGUGGAAGGAUUUUUUUUUAUUUUUUUAAACAAUGCUUAUACACAACAUUCUGGUCCACACUCACACCAGAUGGUGGCGGUAAUGCACCAAAAAGUUGUUUGCCAACCGCCAAUAAACCUUAAUAGUAGAAGACGACGUCAAGACGAUCGAGGCACGGACUGCACGCUGUUAUCCUCACAAACUUCACCAAGAUCGGUGUUGGACCGGCGAACAAUUUAGGCCUGUUAUCAGAGGACUUGCUAACAUGAAGAAAACGGUCCAGAGGUUCCACCCGAGAGCCGG
Onychostoma macrolepis is the source of this 359-nucleotide long non-coding RNA. RefSeq lists it as uncharacterized. Lineage: Eukaryota; Metazoa; Chordata; Actinopteri; Cypriniformes; Cyprinidae. The record is from RefSeq and is a predicted model, not a curated record. The transcript has 3 exons.